UUUUGGACAAUGGGCGCAAGCCUGAUCCAGCCAUGCCGCGUGAGUGAAGAAGGCCUUCGGGUUGUAAAGCUCUUUCGGCGGGGACGAAACGGUUCGUGCUAAUACCACGGACUACUGACGGUACCCGCAGAAGAAGCACCGGCUAACUACGUGCCAGCAGCCGCGGUAAUACGUAGGGGGCUAGCGUUGCUCGGAAUCACUGGGCGUAAGGGGUGCGUAGGCGGGUUUUUAAGUCAGGGGUGAAAUCCUGGAGCUCAACUCCAGAACUGCCUUUGAUACUGAAGAUCUUGAGUCCGGGAGAGGUGAGUGGAACUGCGAGUGUAGAGGUGAAAUUCGUAGAUAUUCGCAAGAACACCAGUGGCGAAGGCGGCUCACUGGCCCGGUACUGACGCUGAGCACGAAG
RNAcentral lists this ribosomal RNA (403 nucleotides) under uncultured bacterium. RNAcentral's name for it is "bacterial SSU rRNA". It matches the Rfam family "Bacterial small subunit ribosomal RNA", at positions 362 to 758 of the family's 1533-position model. The record is from RNAcentral.